This is a ribosomal RNA of Enterocytozoon bieneusi H348, 1033 nucleotides long. It matches the Rfam family "Microsporidia small subunit ribosomal RNA", at positions 1 to 1052 of the family's 1311-position model. The record is from Rfam. NCBI's taxonomy places the organism in Eukaryota, Fungi, Microsporidia, Enterocytozoonidae.
CAUUAGGUUGAUCUGCCUAAAGUAGAUGCUAGUUUCUGAGAUUAAGCCAUGCAUGUCAGUGAGCCCUACGGCGGAACGCGAAACGGCUCAGUAAUGUUGCGGUAUUUGGUUCUCUGUGUGUAAACUAACCACGGUACCUUGUGGCUAAAAGCGGAGAAUAAGGCGCAACCCUAUCAGCUUGUUGGUAGUGUAAAGGACUACCAAGGCCAUGACGGGUAACGGGAAAUCAGGGUUUGAUUCCGGAGAGGGAGCCUGAGAGAUGGCUCCCACGUCCAAGGACGGCAGCAGGCGCGAAACUUGUCCACUCCUUACGGGGGAGACAGUCAUGAGACGUGAGUAUAAGACCUGAGUGUAAAGACCUUAGGGUGAAGCAAUUGGAGGGCAAGCUUUGGUGCCAGCAGCCGCGGUAACUCCAACUCCAAGAGUGUCUAUGGUGGAUGCUGCAGUUAAAGGGUCCGUAGUCGUGAAUGCAAUUAAAUGUCGUUGUUCAAUAGCGAUGAGUUUGCUAAUGUUUGCGGAACGGAUAGGGAGUGUAGUAUAGACUGGCGAAGAAUGAAAUCUCAAGACCCAGUUUGGACUAACGGAGGCGAAGGCGACACUCUUAGACGUAUCUUAGGAUCAAGGACGAAGGCAGGAGUAUCGAAAGUGAUUAGACACCGCUGUAGUUCCUGCAGUAAACUAUGCCGACAGCCUGUGUGUGAGAAUACGUGGGCGGGAGAAAUCUUAGUGUUCGGGCUCUGGGGAUAGUACGCUCGCAAGGGUGAAACUUAAAGCGAAAUUGACGGAAGGACACUACCAGGAGUGGAUUGUGCUGCUUAAUUUAACUCAACGCGGGAAAACUUACCAGGGUCAAGUCAUUCGUUGAUCGAAUACGUGAGAAUGGCAGGAGUGGUGCAUGGCCGUUGGAAAUUGAUGGGGCGACCUUUAGCUUAAAUGCUUAAACCAGUGAGACCUCCUUGACAGGUGUUCUGUAACACAGGAGGGUGGAGGCUAUAACAGGUCCGUGAUGCCCUAGAAUCCGGCGCAGCGUCCC